RNAcentral lists this ribosomal RNA (474 nucleotides) under uncultured bacterium. RNAcentral describes it as "bacterial SSU rRNA". It matches the Rfam family "Bacterial small subunit ribosomal RNA", at positions 335 to 799 of the family's 1533-position model. The record is from RNAcentral.
ACUCCUACGGGAGGCAGCAGUGGGGAAUAUUGCACAAUGGGCGCAAGCCUGAUGCAGCCAUGCCGCGUGUAUGAAGAAGGCCUUCGGGUUGUAAAGUACUUUCAGCAGUGAGGAAGGCAGGUACGUUAAUAGCGUGCUUGUUUGACGUUAGCUGCAGAAGAAGCACCGGCUAACUCCGUGCCAGCAGCCGCGGUAAUACGGAGGGUGCGAGCGUUAAUCGGAAUUACUGGGCGUAAAGCGCAUGCAGGUGGUUUGUUAAGUCAGAUGUGAAAGCCCGGGGCUCAACCUCGGAAUUGCAUUUGAAACUGGCAGACUAGAGUACUGUAGAGGGGGGUAGAAUUUCAGGUGUAGCGGUGAAAUGCGUAGAGAUCUGAAGGAAUACCGGUGGCGAAGGCGGCCCCCUGGACAGAUACUGACACUCAGAUGCGAAAGCGUGGGGAGCAAACAGGAUUAGAUACCCGUGGUAGGAUAGCG